CUCAGAGAAAAAGUACUUAAUUUCACCCUCAGCACCCAAAGCUAAAAUUCUAAUUUAAACUAUUCUCUG
This 69-nucleotide transfer RNA is filed under the name Hylobates moloch (silvery gibbon). RNAcentral describes it as "tRNA-Pro". The record is from RNAcentral. Lineage: Eukaryota; Metazoa; Chordata; Mammalia; Primates; Hylobatidae.